This 333-nucleotide ribosomal RNA is filed under the name Scutellospora aurigloba. Its description in RNAcentral is "SSU rRNA". It matches the Rfam family "Eukaryotic small subunit ribosomal RNA", at positions 548 to 886 of the family's 1831-position model. Lineage: Eukaryota; Fungi; Glomeromycota; Glomeromycetes; Diversisporales; Gigasporaceae. The record is from RNAcentral.
UUGGAGGGCAAGUCUGGUGCCAGCAGCCGCGGUAAUUCCAGCUCCAAUAGCGUAUAUUAAAGUUGUUGCAGUUAAAAAGCUCGUAGUUGAAUUUCGGGGUUCUACCGUUGGUCGGGCUAACCAGUCUGUACUAGCGUGUAGAAUUCUUACCUUCUGGGGAACCAUCAUGUUAUUAAUUUAGCGUGGUGGGAAACCAGGACCUUUACCUUGAAAAAAUUAGAGUGUUCAAAGCAGGCUUACGUCUGAAUACAUUAGCAUGGAAUAAUAAAAUAGGACGGUGGUCCUGUUUUGUUGGUUUCUGAAUCACCGUAAUGAUUAAUAGGGAUAGUUGGG